This is a long non-coding RNA of Boleophthalmus pectinirostris (great blue-spotted mudskipper), 458 nucleotides long. RefSeq lists it as uncharacterized. NCBI's taxonomy places the organism in Eukaryota, Metazoa, Chordata, Actinopteri, Gobiiformes, Gobiidae. The transcript is spliced from 3 exons. The record is from RefSeq and is a predicted model, not a curated record.
CACUAUUCCGUUUCCUACCCCCAGCUGAGGGCAUUAAAGUGUGGGGCUGGUAAUAAUUGAAGCGAGUGCACAUGAGAAUCAGCUGACUCAAUUAGACUGCUGCGGAAAUCUGAAAAUGAUGGUGAAAUUCUUUGGUCAGCCAUCAAACAACACUUUGGACUCCAAUCCCCAAGCCAAAUGUUUCUUCUGAACACCAAAACAAGUGGGAAUUCUUGAUAAAAAGAAUACUUCAUUAAUUAUUGAGUGAAAAGGAGUUUGAGGAAUGUUCUGACUUGCAUCCUGGAUCGAUUCAAACUUAUGGCACCAAGAUGUUCAGUUCUCUGGAAGAAUAAAUUAAGAUACAUUUAAGAGACCAUUGCUAGUAAGCUAAUAUGCUACUAUAUACUUAAAGUAAAGUAAAGUAAAGUAAAGAAUAACAUUGAAAAACAGUGACACAAACAAAAAGGUUUUCUUAACAA